RNAcentral lists this ribosomal RNA (208 nucleotides) under uncultured bacterium. RNAcentral describes it as "partial 16S ribosomal RNA". It matches the Rfam family "Bacterial small subunit ribosomal RNA", at positions 568 to 774 of the family's 1533-position model. The record is from RNAcentral.
CGCGCAGGCGGCGCGUUAAGUCCGGGGUGAAAUCCCACGGCUCAACUGUGGGGGACCCGUCGGAUACUGGCGUGCUGGAGUGCGGGAGAGGGAAGCGGAAUUCCACGUGUAACGGUGAAAUGUAUAGAUAUGUGGAGGAACACCGGUGGCGAAGGCGGCUUCCUGGACCGUAACUGACGCUGAGGCGCGAAAGCUGGGGGAGCGAACA